Molecule: long non-coding RNA, 672 nt
Filed under: Homo sapiens (human)
Lineage: Eukaryota; Metazoa; Chordata; Mammalia; Primates; Hominidae
Description: HSALNT0403928
Source: RNAcentral
ACCCUGGGCGAGUCGCUGAACCUCUCUGGGCCUCAGCUCCUCCUGGCCACUGCCCAGACACUUUACUUCAAAUUUGGCUUUAUUUUCAUCAUUGAUAUUGAUUAAAAUGACAUUCACUUGCCCGGAAAGUAAAAGAGGUCUUCAGCACAAAAUAUUGCUCCAACAAGCAAGCAUAAAUCACUGAGAUUGAAAUGUCAUCUAUCUUUAUUGGCCAACCACAUAAUCUCCAUGAAAAUUCUCAACAGAGAGCAAGGAACUCACUUUCUUCUAAGCAAAGACAAUUUGGAUUUGCCUCGUGGCACUGGCAUCUCUUCAUGUCUGGACGUCAGAUGUUAGCUUGGUGCCUUUCUCCCUUAUCAGGGGGACAUUUUGAACCCAGCCGCACCAAUGUUCUCAUGGAUGGUGGCCUUCGAUUCUUCUAGAUUCAAGAUUUGGCUCUUGUACUUUUCCUGCCAGUCCUCUACAAUGUACUGGUGGUAGGGGUCAUUGGAGUGUUCCCGUCUCUUGGAUUUCACAGUGCUCACCAGGAUGGCCACGAUGAUGAAAGAGAACAUUCCAAUCAUCACCAUGAGGUACAGGAUGACAUAGUAGAAGUUCUCAGCAUCAACUUUGGCUUGGAGGGCCUCUUGCUCAGCUGUUGUGUUCUGGCGCCAAUUGUCCAUAUAAGUAAUA